This 322-nucleotide ribosomal RNA is filed under the name uncultured eukaryote. RNAcentral's name for it is "partial 18S ribosomal RNA". It matches the Rfam family "Eukaryotic small subunit ribosomal RNA", at positions 1470 to 1796 of the family's 1831-position model. The record is from RNAcentral.
CCCUUAGAUGUUCUGGGCCGCACGCGUGCUACACUGAGUGGAUCAGCGGGUCAGGUUGCGCGAAAGUGUUUCCUAAUCUUUAAAUCCGCUCGUGAUGGGGAUUGACGGUUGCAAUUUUCCGUCAUGAACGAGGAAUACCUUGUAAGCGCGGGUCAUCAUCCCGCGCUGAAUACGUCCCUGCCCUUUGUACACACCGCCCGUCGCUCCUACCGAUUGAGCAAACCGGUGAAUAGUUUGGACCGUCGGCUUUCUCGGUUCGCCGGGUUAGCAGUGCGGAAAAUUCAGUGAACCUUUUUGCUUAGAGGAAGGAGAAGUCGUAACA